This is a long non-coding RNA of Esox lucius (northern pike), 1665 nucleotides long. RefSeq lists it as uncharacterized. NCBI's taxonomy places the organism in Eukaryota, Metazoa, Chordata, Actinopteri, Esociformes, Esocidae. The transcript has 6 exons. The record is from RefSeq and is a predicted model, not a curated record.
GACCAAUAUGUUAUGAAUGGAAAGUCGCUAUCUCGCUCUGCUUCACAAUAUAGUUACACCGUUCAUGUCUUCCAUACCUCCAAGUAAUUUACAUAAGCAUUAUAAUAGCGCGCAUCCCAUAGCAAAUGUUAAUUUUGAUGUAGGCUACCUUAAAGUGUUGCAAGACCCAGAUUUUGGCGGGCUUCUUUCAUCAAUUGGCUCACGCGCUUAAAGCAUUGCUCCCGCCCCCACUCGGUUCCAGAAUAGCCUACUAACAACACCAAAUGUUCGCACCAGACAGAGAAGUGAAACGUCGCGCACUGAGUGACCCCCUUUGUACGUCCUGAUACAAGAGGUGCACAGUGUCCCGAGUUGGGUCCCGGAGCUCUUUUCCAGGUUUUUGUCGGAAUCAUCUUAUUCAAGACAAAGCCCAUCGUCGGCUACCCACCAGAGUACAAGCAGACAAUAUUUCUUAAGCAGCUAGUGGUUCCUGCUAUGGUGAGGGGGAACAUGAAGAAGGCAUAUAUAAGUUGACGGUGAAAGUCUAAAGCGUACAUGCUCCAGGUUAUGUGACAUCCUGGCCAGAACCAUUGACCCUCUUGGGAUUUCUUCGUCUCCACCGAGAAAGCUAGCCAGCAUAUCAUCACUGGACAACCAGAAUCACUGCGUUCAGCGCGAGAGAUUUAAAGAAAACAACAUUUUGCAAAUAGGGAAGGGGUCUAACUGUCCUGCUGGAAAGGAAAGAGAAGAUGGAGGAAAGGGGGGAGAAGAAAAAGAAGAGGACUGAAACGGCCCUGUGACUGAAACGGCCCUGUGUUCCAAAGAGGAGGUUUCAGAGAACUGUGUGUGUGUGUUUGUGUGCGUGUGUUUGUGUGUGUGUGUGUGCGUGCGAGUGUGCUUGUUGUGCGCCUGUGUGUGUGUGCGUGUGUGUCAUUUCACCUGGCCGUUUCGAUGAACCUGGACCACGUUGGACUCCCAACGAAAUCUCAGUCAACUGAAGAACACAGAUACAGUAGUCCAAAGGUUACUGGGAAGGAAUGCAAAGGUUAUUGGGACAGAAUGCCUUUCGGGGGGGGAGGUUUUUUCUUCUGUUUAAGCCAUGGCAAUUAAAAGUAGGCUCCAUUUCAGUACUGCUACUGUUGUCUUAUUCAUUUGGCUACAAUCCUGUCAGGAAAGAAACAGUGAGAAGGUGAAAACUAUUUCAGAUGUGUGUGUGUGUGUGUGUGUGUGUGUGCGCGUGUGUGUGUGUGAAUGUGUGUGUAUACAUUUAAUGGGAACAGACAUGUCCCCGAGCUGUUUUUAAACCAUGUGUGGGUAAAAUUAUAUGUAUGAAUAUCUGGAUUUAAAAACAUUUAAAGUCUCCAAUACAUUUUACACAUUUUAAUACACAGAUCUUUUCCCUAGAAUAAUCAGACAAAAAUCAUGCAUAGCGAUUUUACUGUGUCUAUACAGUGUAUAAUUAUAUUGUAUUUUAGAUACUAACAUUUUUUUAUUUAAUAAAAAAUACUGAAAUAAAUUGCUAUCUGUAGUAAGAGAAAGAAUACAGUGAAUAACCAUUCCUUUAACAAAGUAAGUUUGUUAAAGGAAUGGUUAGAGAGGAUUAAUAUGUGUCUGUGUAUGUAUGUCUUGUUUUUUUUCUGUUUUAAUGUUUGUGUGUGUUUAUGAAUUUGUGAGAUGAGAGAAGAG